CCCAGUGAUGAUAGCGGUGGGGUCACACCUCUUACCAUUCCGAACAGAGUAGUUAAACUCAUCAGCGCCGAAAAUACUUCGGGUAAUCCGUGGGAAGAUAGGUCGUCGCUGGGG
Molecule: ribosomal RNA, 114 nt
Filed under: Patescibacteria group bacterium
Lineage: Bacteria
Source: RNAcentral